RNAcentral lists this ribosomal RNA (397 nucleotides) under uncultured bacterium. Its description in RNAcentral is "partial 16S ribosomal RNA". It matches the Rfam family "Bacterial small subunit ribosomal RNA", at positions 523 to 918 of the family's 1533-position model. The record is from RNAcentral.
AUACGUAGGGGGCGAGCGUUGUCCGGAAUGAUUGGGCGUAAAGGGCGCGUAGGCGGCCCGGUAAGUCUGGAGUGAAAGUCCUGUUUUUGAGAUGGGAAUUGCUUUGGAUACUGUCGGGCUUGAGUGCAGGAGAGGUAAGUAGAAUUCCCAGUGUAGCGGUGAAAUGCGUAGAGAUUGGGAGGAACACCAGUGGCGAAGGCGAAUUACUGGACUGUAACUGACGCUGAGGCGCGAAAGUGUGGGGAGCAAACAGGAUUAGAUACCCUGGUAGUCCACGCUGUAAACGAUGAAUGCUAGGUGUAGGGGGUAUCGACCCCUUUUGUGCCGGAGUCAACACAAUAAGCAUUCCGCCUGGGGAGUACGGCCGCGAGGUUGAAACUCAAAUGAAUUGGCGGGG